RNAcentral lists this ribosomal RNA (459 nucleotides) under uncultured bacterium. RNAcentral's name for it is "bacterial SSU rRNA". It matches the Rfam family "Bacterial small subunit ribosomal RNA", at positions 340 to 786 of the family's 1533-position model. The record is from RNAcentral.
UACGGGAGGCAGCAGUGGGGAAUAUUGCACAAUGGGCGAAAGCCUGAUGCAGCUAUGCCGCGUGUAUGAAGAAGGCCUUAGGGUUGUAAAGUACUUUCAUCGGGGAGGAAAAAACAAAACUAAUAAUUUUAUUUCUUGACGUUACCCGAAAAAGAAGCACCGGCUAACUCCGUGCCAGCAGCCGCGGUAAUACGGAGGGUGCUAGCGUUAAUCAGAAUUACUGGGCGUAAAGAGCACGUAGGUGGUUUUUUUAAAGUCAGAUGUGAAAUCCCUGGGCUUAACCUAGGAACUGCAUUUUGAAACUGAAAUACUAGAGUAUCGUAGAAGGAGGUAGAAUUCUAGGUGUAGCGGUGAAAUGCGUAGAUAUCUGGAGGAAUACCUGUGGCGAAAGCGGCCUCCUAAACGAAUACUGACACUGAGGGUGCGAAAAGCGUGGGGAGCAAACAGGGAUUAGAUACC